GAUUAGGUAGUUGGUGAGGUAAAGGCUCACCAAGCCGACGAUCUGUAGCCGGUCUGAGAGGAUGAACGGCCACAUUGGGACUGAGAUACGGCCCAGACUCCUACGGGAGGCAGCAGUGGGGAAUAUUGGGCAAUGGGGGAAACCCUGACCCAGCAACGCCGCGUGAAGGAAGAAGGCCUUCGGGUUGUAAACUUCUUUUACCAGGGACGAAGAACGUGACGGUACCUGGAGAAAAAGCAACGGCUAACUACGUGCCAGCAGCCGCGGUAAUACGUAGGUUGCAAGCGUUGUCCGGAUUUACUGGGUGUAAAGGGCGUGUAGGCGGAGAUGCAAGUUGGGAGUGAAAUCCCGGGGCUCAACCCCGGAACUGCUUUCAAAACUGCAUCCCUUGAGUAUCGGAGAGGCAAGCGGAAUUCCUAGUGUAGCGGUGAAAUGCGUAGAUAUUAGGAGGAACACCAGUGGCGAAGGCGGCUUGCUGGACGACAACUGACGCUGAGGCGCGAAAGCGUGGGGAGCAAACAGGAUUAGAUACCCUGGUAGUCCACGCUGUAAACGAUGAAUACUAGGUGUGGGAGGACUGACCCCUUCCGUGCCGCAGUUAACACAAUAAGUAUUCCACCUGGGGAGUACGACCGCAAGGUUGAAACUCAAAGGAAUUGACGGGGGCCCGCACAAGCAGUGGAUUAUGUGGUUUAAUUCGACGCAACGCGAAGAACCUUACCAGGACUUGACAUCCAACUAACGGAGUAGAGAUACAUUAGGUGCCCUUCGGGGAAAGUUGAGACAGGUGGUGCAUGGUUGUCGUCAGCUCGUGUCGUGAGAUGUUGGGUUAAGU
RNAcentral lists this ribosomal RNA (835 nucleotides) under uncultured bacterium. RNAcentral describes it as "bacterial SSU rRNA". It matches the Rfam family "Bacterial small subunit ribosomal RNA", at positions 239 to 1085 of the family's 1533-position model. The record is from RNAcentral.